GUGGGGAAUAUUGGACUAUGGGCGAAAGCCUGAUCCAGCCAUGCCGCGUGUGUGAAGAAGGUCUUCGGAUUGUAAAGCACUUUAAGUUGGGAGGAAGGGCAGUAAGUUAAUACCUUGCUGUUUUGACGUUACCAACAGAAUAAGCACCGGCUAACUUCGUGCCAGCAGCCGCGGUAAUACGAAGGGUGCAAGCGUUAAUCGGAAUUACUGGGCGUAAAGCGCGCGUAGGUGGUUUUGUAAGUUGGAGGUGAAAUCCCCGGGCUCAACCUGGGAACUGCCUCCAAAACUGCAUGACUAGAGUACGGUAGAGGGUAGUGGAAUUUCCUGUGUAGCGGUGAAAUGCGUAGAUAUAGGAAGGAACACCAGUGGCGAAGGCGACUACCUGGACUGAUACUGACACUGAGGUGCGAAAGCGUGGGGAGCAAACAGGAUUAGAAACCCGUGUAGUCC
RNAcentral lists this ribosomal RNA (450 nucleotides) under uncultured bacterium. RNAcentral describes it as "partial 16S ribosomal RNA". It matches the Rfam family "Bacterial small subunit ribosomal RNA", at positions 354 to 796 of the family's 1533-position model. The record is from RNAcentral.